AGAACGAACGCUGGCGGCAGGCUUAACACAUGCAAGUCGGGCGCCCCGCAAGGGGAGCGGCAGACGGGUGAGUAACGCGUGGGAACAUACCCUCCGGUUCGGAAUAGCUCAGGGAAACUUGGAUUAAUACCGGAUACGGCCUAGCGGCGAAAGAUUCAUCGCCGGAGGAUUGGCCCGCGUUCGAUUAGCUAGUUGGUGAGGUAACGGCUCACCAAGGCGACGAUCGGUAGCUGGUCUGAGAGGACGACCAGCCACACUGGAACUGAGACACGGUCCAGACUCCUACGGGAGGCAGCAGUGGGGAAUAUUGGACAAUGGGGGCAACCCUGAUCCAGCCAUGCCGCGUGGGUGAAGAAGGCCUUCGGGUUGUAAAGCCCUUUUGUACGGGAAGAAAAGCUUCGGGUUAACACCGGGAGUCAUGACGGUACCGUAAGAAUAAGCACCGGCUAACGUUCGUGCCAGCAGCCGC
RNAcentral lists this ribosomal RNA (469 nucleotides) under uncultured bacterium. RNAcentral's name for it is "SSU rRNA". It matches the Rfam family "Bacterial small subunit ribosomal RNA", at positions 26 to 518 of the family's 1533-position model. The record is from RNAcentral.